GACGAACGCUGGCGGCGUGCUUAACACAUGCAAGUCGAGCGGAGCGGCGAACGGGUGAGUAACGCGUGAGUAACCUGCCCUUCAGAGGGGGACAACAGUUGGAAACGACUGCUAAUACCGCAUACUGAAGGAGGGGUUUGCGUCUGGUUAGCUAGUUGGAGGGGUAACGGCCCACCAGGGCGAUGAUCAGUAGCCGGUCUGAGAGGAUGAACGGACACAUUGGGACGGGGACACGGCCCAGACUCCUACGGGAGGCAGCAGUGGGGAAUCUUCCGCAAUGGACGAAAGUCUGACGGAGCAAAGCCGCGUGAUGGAUGACGGCCUUCGGGUUGUUAAGCUCUGUUAAUCGGGACGCGGUACCGGAAUAGAAAGCCACGGCUAACUACGUGCCAGCAGCCGCGGUAAUAC
This 408-nucleotide ribosomal RNA is filed under the name uncultured bacterium. Its description in RNAcentral is "partial 16S ribosomal RNA". It matches the Rfam family "Bacterial small subunit ribosomal RNA", at positions 28 to 526 of the family's 1533-position model. The record is from RNAcentral.